Acomys russatus (golden spiny mouse) is the source of this 1462-nucleotide long non-coding RNA. RefSeq lists it as uncharacterized. The transcript is spliced from 4 exons. Lineage: Eukaryota; Metazoa; Chordata; Mammalia; Rodentia; Muridae. The record is from RefSeq and is a predicted model, not a curated record.
AGUGUGAGUACACAGUUCAGGUGAUGCUGCAGUGUGAGUACACAGUCCAGGUGAUGCUGCAGUGUGAGUACACAGUCCAGGUGAUGCUGCAGUGUGAGUACACAGUCCAGGUGAUGCUACAGUGUGAGUACACAGUCUAGAUGCUGCUGCAGUGUGAGUAUACAGUCCAGGUGAGGUGCCGUGAACUUUCUCAGGGUCUUGUCCUCCCAGGAUAUGCUGACAAGAGGAGAGGCUGCUGGACGGAUUGUCACAGAGAAGCCAUUCAUAACUUCAUUAUUUCCUGAAGUGAUUUACUCCCUUUAGGUUCAAAAUUCAGUAAAAGUGACCCUGAAAUGACGUUUAUUUUCCGAUAGUGUAUUAGAAUUUUAUAGGAUGGUUUAAGGAUCUGUAAUUAAAAGUGCUAUACACUUAGUGCGAAUCUGUUUGUUGAGAAAUUGAUUCCUUUUGAAGGAAAGCUGCAAACUUUUCUUGUAUGGGUAAAUGUCACUCUAUUCAUAUCUUCACUUAGCUGCAAGUCAGUAUGUGUUCUGUUCCACCAGGUUGUCAUAGCAACACAGUUAACUGUCAUCUCAGCUCAGACUGUUGAUGGUUUUAUUUGUAGGUUUGUAGGAUUAUUAAAAUUUAACAAAAUUAUUGAUUUACUUUUUAUUAACACAGAGUUAUUUACCAUGAAAGUUCAAGCUGCACAAAGGUUUUUUUUUCUGUUUAAAUUUUUUUCCAAAAAUUAAAGUGAAACUAGAUAUUAAAUCCUUGUGAUUAAAUUUUUUUUUAUUUAAAAUGUAAUAUAGAGUCUGCAGGAGGAGAAUAACCUCUGUGAAUUGUAGUUUUUAGUCAUUUCCUAUUUUCUUUUUUCUGACAAGGAGGCAAGGAGAAAAAAAGGCCUUAAAAUUCACCUUUAGCUUGCUUUUAACUAAACAUAAAGGAUACCUGUCAGGAAGCGUGAAAUGGUACAUAAAGUGCCUAAUACUGAGGUUUCAUUUUAUUUAUGGUUUUUGAAACCUUGUGGGAAUGCUUCACUGAACUGUGUUGUAAAAGUAUUUAUUUUGGUAUAUUUAUGUGGGAGAAAUUACUUAGUUUUCACUUAUAAGUAAGGCAGGCAAACCUUAUUUACAGUAAGCUUAUCUAAUGGUCCGUGGAUGAGUGCUUUUAUGCAAAAUAGUCGGGAGGCCAGAAUUAGCUUUCACAGUGAGUGCACAUUUGAUGUCCACACUUGAGCAACAUGUGGCAUCUUAUUCUAAGGGCUGCUGUUCGGGAUUCAAUUUGUAUUUAACACACUUACCUCGCAACACACAGCUCACCUGCAGGACAUCUAGUGUCUCCUCUAGAGCAUCUCUUUCUUCCUGGGAGAUGCAGAGGGUUUAUUGGUUUUAUAAUCUUUCCUGUUUAUUUUUUAAAGACUUGAUUAAUUAGCUGUGUUAUAUUACACGCUAAAAUAGAUCAGUUUGGGGAUGUUAUGUUUUCU